RNAcentral lists this ribosomal RNA (253 nucleotides) under uncultured bacterium. RNAcentral's name for it is "partial 16S ribosomal RNA". It matches the Rfam family "Bacterial small subunit ribosomal RNA", at positions 524 to 776 of the family's 1533-position model. The record is from RNAcentral.
GACGUAGGGUGCGAGCGUUAAUCGGAAUUACUGGGCGUAAAGCGUGCGCAGGCGGCUCCUUAAGUCAGAUGUGAAAGCCCCGGGCUUAACCUGGGAACUGCGUUUGAAACUGGGGAGCUAGAGUGUAGAAGAGGGGGGUGGAAUUCCAGGUGUAGCAGUGAAAUGCGCAGAUAUCAGGAGGAACACCGGUGGCGAAGGCGGCAUCCUGGACCGAGAUUGACGCUGAGGCGCGAAAGCCAGGGGAGCAAACGGG